CGUGCGGCGGACUACCAUGCAGUCGAGCGGAAACGAGUUAUCUGAACCUUCGGGGAACGAUAACGGCGUCGAGCGGCGGACGGGUGAGUAAUGCCUAGGAAAUUGCCCUGAUGUGGGGGAUAACCAUUGGAAACGAUGGCUAAUACCGCAUGAUGCCUACGGGCCAAAGAGGGGGACCUUCGGGCCUCUCGCGUCAGGAUAUGCCUAGGUGGGAUUAGCUAGUUGGUGAGGUAAGGGCUCACCAAGGCGACGAUCCCUAGCUGGUCUGAGAGGAUGAUCAGCCACACUGGAACUGAGACACGGUCCAGACUCCUACGGGAGGCAGCAGUGGGGAAUAUUGCACAAUGGGCGCAAGCCUGAUGCAGCCAUGCCGCGUGUGUGAAGAAGGCCUUCGGGUUGUAAAGCACUUUCAGUCGUGAGGAAGGUAGUGUAGUUAAUAGCUGCAUUAUUUGACGUUAGCGACAGAAGAAGCACCGGCUAACUCCGUGCCAGCAGCCGCGGUAAUACGGAGGGUGCGAGCGUUAAUCGGAAUUACUGGGCGUAAAGCGCAUGCAGGUGGUUUGUUAAGUCAGAUGUGAAAGCCCGGGGCUCAACCUCGGAAUAGCAUUUGAAACUGGCAGACUAGAGUACUGUAGAGGGGGGUAGAAUUUCAGGUGUAGCGGUGAAAUGCGUAGAGAUCUGAAGGAAUACCGGUGGCGAAGGCGGCCCCCUGGACAGAUACUGACACUCAGAUGCGAAAGCGUGGGGAGCAAACAGGAUUAGAUACCCUGGUAGUCCACGCCGUAAACGAUGUCUACUUGGAGGUUGUGGCCUUGAGCCGUGGCUUUCGGAGCUAACGCGUUAAGUAGACCGCCUGGGGAGUACGGUCGCAAGAUUAAAACUCAAAUGAAUUGACGGGGGCCCGCACAAGCGGUGGAGCAUGUGGUUUAAUUCGAUGCAACGCGAAGAACCUUACCUACUCUUGACUCCAGAGACUUUCCAGAGAUGGAUUGGUGCCUUCGGAACUCUGAAACGGUGCUGCUGGCUGUCGUCACUCG
Molecule: ribosomal RNA, 1037 nt
Filed under: uncultured bacterium
Lineage: Bacteria
Description: bacterial SSU rRNA
Rfam family: Bacterial small subunit ribosomal RNA
Source: RNAcentral